Molecule: ribosomal RNA, 677 nt
Filed under: uncultured bacterium
Lineage: Bacteria
Description: bacterial SSU rRNA
Rfam family: Bacterial small subunit ribosomal RNA
Source: RNAcentral
GAAACGACUGCUAAUACCGCAUAAGCGCACAGGAUCGCAUGAUCCGGUGUGAAAAACUCCGGUGGUAUGAGAUGGACCCGCGUCUGAUUAGCCAGUUGGCAGGGUAACGGCCUACCAAAGCGACGAUCAGUAGCCGACCUGAGAGGGUGACCGGCCACAUUGGGACUGAGACACGGCCCAAACUCCUACGGGAGGCAGCAGUGGGGAAUAUUGCACAAUGGGGGAAACCCUGAUGCAGCGACGCCGCGUGAGCGAAGAAGUAUUUCGGUAUGUAAAGCUCUAUCAGCAGGGAAGAAGAAUGACGGUACCUGACUAAGAAGCACCGGCUAAAUACGUGCCAGCAGCCGCGGUAAUACGUAUGGUGCAAGCGUUAUCCGGAUUUACUGGGUGUAAAGGGAGCGCAGGCGGUGCGGCAAGUCUGAUGUGAAAGCCCGGGGCUCAACCCCGGUACUGCAUUGGAAACUGUCGUACUAGAGUGUCGGAGGGGUAAGUGGAAUUCCUAGUGUAGCGGUGAAAUGCGUAGAUAUUAGGAGGAACACCAGUGGCGAAGGCGGCUUACUGGACGAUAACUGACGCUGAGGCUCGAAAGCGUGGGGAGCAAACAGGAUUAGAUACCCUGGUAGUCCACGCCGUAAACCCCUAAUGGUAGGUGUCGGGGAGCAUUGCUCUUCGGUGCC